This 332-nucleotide ribosomal RNA is filed under the name uncultured Acidobacteriota bacterium. RNAcentral describes it as "bacterial SSU rRNA". It matches the Rfam family "Bacterial small subunit ribosomal RNA", at positions 568 to 898 of the family's 1533-position model. Lineage: Bacteria; Pseudomonadati; Acidobacteriota. The record is from RNAcentral.
UUCGUAGGUGGCUCACUAAGUCACACGUGAAAUCCCUCAGCUUAACUGGGGAACUGCGUGUGAAACUGGAGAGCUUGAGGGUAGGAGAGGAAUGCGGAAUUCCAGGUGUAGCGGUGAAAUGCGUAGAUAUCUGGAGGAACACCGGUGGCGAAGGCGGCAUUCUGGACUAUUUCUGACACUGAUGAACGAAAGCCAGGGGAGCAAACGGGAUUAGAUACCCCGGUAGUCCUGGCCCUAAACGAUGAAUGCUUGGUGUGGCGGGUAUCGAUCCCUGCCGUGCCGCAGUUAACGCGUUAAGCAUUCCGCCUGGGGAGUACGGUCGCAAGGCUGAA